RNAcentral lists this long non-coding RNA (449 nucleotides) under Ananas comosus (pineapple). RNAcentral's name for it is "long non-coding RNA (ACOM_LNC013482)". Lineage: Eukaryota; Viridiplantae; Streptophyta; Magnoliopsida; Poales; Bromeliaceae. The record is from RNAcentral.
GUUCAUGAAAUUUGGUUCAUGAGUCCAAGUUGGAAGUUGGGUUUGGGUUGUAGUCGUGGUUCGGAUUGGAGUUGGAUUUGGGUUUGGGUUUGGAUUUUAUUUGUGGGCUUGAUUUGGGUUUGGGUUUCGAGUUUGGUUUUAUUUGUGGACUUGACUUAGGUUUUUAGUUUUGGGUUUGGUUUUUAUUUGUGGACUUGAUUUUGUUUUGGGUUUGGGUUCAAGUUUUAUUUGUGGACUUGAUUUGGAUUUGGGUUCAAGUUUUAUUUGUGGACUUGGUUUGGAUUUGGGUUUUGGUUUCGGUUUUAUUUGUGGACUGGAUUUGGGUUUGGGUUUGGGUUCAAGUUUUAUUUGUGGAUUUGAUUUGGUUUUGGGUUUGGGUUCAAGUUUUAUUUGUGGACUUGGUUUGGAUUUCGGUUUAAUUUGAUUUUUUGGGUCUAAAAGGAUUCUUU